This 253-nucleotide ribosomal RNA is filed under the name uncultured bacterium. RNAcentral describes it as "partial 16S ribosomal RNA". It matches the Rfam family "Bacterial small subunit ribosomal RNA", at positions 524 to 776 of the family's 1533-position model. The record is from RNAcentral.
UACGUAGGGGGCGAGCGUUGUCCGGAGCUACUGGGCGUAAAGCGCUUGUAGGCGGUCCACCAAGUUUGGGGUGACAGUUGCCGACUUAAUCGGCAAAGUGCCUCAAAGACUGGCGGACUUGAGGGCCACAGAGGGACAUGGAACUCCAGGUGUAGUGGUGAAAUGCGUAGAUAUCGAGAGGAACACCGGUGGCGAAGGCGGCCUUCUGGACAGUGACUGACGCUGAGACGCGAAAGCGUGGGGAGCAAACAGG